Molecule: long non-coding RNA, 190 nt
Filed under: Mustela putorius furo (domestic ferret)
Lineage: Eukaryota; Metazoa; Chordata; Mammalia; Carnivora; Mustelidae
Description: lncRNA (ENSMPUG00000026570.1)
Source: RNAcentral
CUCUGAUGGCAGCCCAGGCCCUCUGAAGCUGGGGGCAGUGUGGAGGCGUUGCUCUAUGGGCUUGGCCUUGGACGGAGCCUGGAGGACUGCUGGGGGCAGGAGGGAGUUGACAGCAGAAGCCAGGGACCGGGUUAUGGCGAGGGUGCUCUGAAUGCCAAGAAGAGAGGAUGGAGAGGACUCGGGAUUUUCU